RNAcentral lists this ribosomal RNA (500 nucleotides) under uncultured bacterium. RNAcentral's name for it is "bacterial SSU rRNA". It matches the Rfam family "Bacterial small subunit ribosomal RNA", at positions 10 to 507 of the family's 1533-position model. The record is from RNAcentral.
AGUUUGAUCAUGGCUCAGAUUGAACGCUGGCGGAAUGCUUUACACAUGCAAGUCGAGCGGCAGCGCGGGGCAACCUGGCGGCGAGCGGCGAACGGGUGAGUAAUACAUCGGAACGUGCCCAGACGUGGGGGAUAACUACUCGAAAGAGUGGCUAAUACCGCAUACGAUCUAAGGAUGGAAGCGGGGGAUCGCAAGACCUCGCGCGUUUGGAGCGGCCGAUGGCAGAUUAGGUAGUUGGUGGGGUAAAGGCUUACCAAGCCCGCGAUCUGUAGCUGGUCUGAGAGGAUGAUCAGCCACACUGGGACUGAGACACGGCCCAGACUCCUACGGGAGGCAGCAGUGGGGAAUUUUGGACAAUGGGCGAAAGCCUGAUCCAGCCAUUCCGCGUGCAGGAUGAAGGCCCUCGGGUUGUAAACUGCUUUUGUACAGAACGAAAAAGCUCUUUCUAAUACAGAGAGUCCAUGACGGUACUGUAAGAAUAAGCACCGGCUAACUACGUG